UAAGAUUUUUCAUACGGCCAAAAACAAAAGUUUUGACCCAAAUUAAUUGCUCAAUUAUUAAUAUUUUUAAACGGAAGCAUUUAGGUUUCCUCUAUUAUCAGCUGCUUUGCUCUCUCACCUGUAACGCUCCGCCUCCAUCUAUGACGCUAACAAAUUGGCUCAUGUAUAUAUCUCUCUUUUCCUCCCGUCUCAAUAGUUUCUGUUCUAUGUUUUUUAACAGUUUCCAAGGUCUAUGAUACCAAGGGAGCCCUUAAAGAAUUUGUUGAUCACUCAGUUCAAGUUAUUGUUAAAUAGUUUUUCAGGCUUGGAAGUUGUUUUUGAUGAAGAAAUUAGACAUUCAACUAUGUUGGACUCCAAUAUAGAAUCAAAGGGUACACCACGCGUAAUCUGAUCUGAUUCCAAACUUCACUGGCACCUAAGGAGGUACUGCCUUGCAAAGCCACAAAAUCUGGUUGUUGAUCAUCAAGGGACAAAAGUGGCGCUGAAAUAGCAAAAGUUGAUAAUAUUUUCCAGAUAUGAUAUGUGGUAUAUGCCAAUGAUAAUUGGAGUAGAUGUCUAAUAGUCGAGCAGUUAGGGAAUUUUCAUACUGAACAUGCCAUAAGUCGGCAAAAACUUAUACCAACAAGAGGGGAUGUGAAGGUAAAUCAAUACUAA
Molecule: long non-coding RNA, 654 nt
Organism: Camelina sativa (false flax)
Lineage: Eukaryota; Viridiplantae; Streptophyta; Magnoliopsida; Brassicales; Brassicaceae
Source: RefSeq, a predicted model, not a curated record